Molecule: non-coding RNA, 582 nt
Organism: Salvia hispanica
Lineage: Eukaryota; Viridiplantae; Streptophyta; Magnoliopsida; Lamiales; Lamiaceae
Source: RefSeq, a predicted model, not a curated record
AAGUUCUAGUUAUCCCUGUCCACUUCACACUAAGCAGCCUACGUUGCUUUCACUAAUAAAUUUAAAAUUCUCUGAUACUGAAUCUAAUUUUGAAUUUCAUGGUCUACUGUGAAAGAGUUUCCACUUUUAAUAAUAGAUGGUUUUAUAUUUUAGUAACAUACAUAAGGCCUUGCAUGUUCUUGAAAUUUUCAUCUAUUCUCAAUGCAGAUUGAGCUUCAAUAGACAGUUGAUACGCAACUUUUACAUGUGAAAGAGUUGUCAGGUUUGGAAACAGGAUCGCCGUUACAUGAUUUAAAUGCUUGCAACAUUUGAAAUGGAGGAAAUAGGUGGGCCAAUAAAUUGGAAAUGUUAGAUAUUUUAGUGCUUUCACAAUCUAAAUUUGUGGUGGUAGUGAGAAGAUUUCCUUCUACUUGGGAUUUCCUACAUCUCUUAUCAUUUGUUGUUUUCCUGCUUUAGGAUAAUAACUCACCAUUCCCUCUCUCUCAAUUCUCUCUCUAUCAUGCUAUAUGCUGUACUUGUGAAACCAAUUAGGUAUGAUUGUAGUCUGAGAUAGAUCAACAUGUUCUCAGUUUAAUUAUUUAA